Molecule: ribosomal RNA, 795 nt
Filed under: uncultured bacterium
Lineage: Bacteria
Description: bacterial SSU rRNA
Rfam family: Bacterial small subunit ribosomal RNA
Source: RNAcentral
AGAGUUUGAUCAUGGCUCAGGAUGAACGCUAGCGGCAGGCUUAAUACAUGCAAGUCGUGGGGCAGCAUAGGGUAGCAAUACUCUGAUGGCGACCGGCAAACGGGUGCGGAACACGUACGCAACCUUCCUUUAACUGGAGAAUAGCCCCUCGAAAGAGGGAUUAAUACUCCGUAACAUGAUGAUAAGGCAUCUUAUUAUUAUUAUAGCUCCGGCGGUUAAAGAUGGGCGUGCGCCUGAUUAGGUAGUUGGCGGGGUAACGGCCCACCAAGCCUUCGAUCAGUAACUGGUGUGAGAGCACGACCAGUCACACGGGCACUGAGACACGGGCCCGACUCCUACGGGAGGCAGCAGUAAGGAAUAUUGGUCAAUGGACGCAAGUCUGAACCAGCCAUGCCGCGUGGAGGAUUAAGGCCCUCUGGGUUGUAAACUCCUUUUAUCUGGGAAGAAAUCCACGUAUUCUUAUGUGGUUGACGGUACCAGAGGAAUAAGCACCGGCUAACUCCGUGCCAGCAGCCGCGGUAAUACGGAGGGUGCAAGCGUUAUCCGGAUUCACUGGGUUUAAAGGGUGCGUAGGCGGGUAAGUAAGUCCGUGGUGAAAUCUCUGAGCUUAACUCAGAAACUGCCGUGGAUACUAUUUGCCUUGAAUAUUGUGGAGGUGAGCGGAAUAUGUCAUGUAGCGGUGAAAUGCUUAGAUAUGACAUAGAACACCAAUUGCGAAGGCAGCUCACUACACAAUCAUUGACGCUGAGGCACGAAAGCGUGGGGAUCAAACAGGAUUAGAUACCCUAGUAGUCC